Molecule: unclassified non-coding RNA, 30 nt
Filed under: Cupriavidus taiwanensis
Lineage: Bacteria; Pseudomonadati; Pseudomonadota; Betaproteobacteria; Burkholderiales; Burkholderiaceae
Description: p27_CRE
Source: RNAcentral
UCGCAGCACACGCUGUCGAGGGGUUUUGCA